GGUUGACCUCGAAUCA
RNAcentral lists this ribosomal RNA (16 nucleotides) under Daldinia bambusicola. RNAcentral describes it as "partial 28S ribosomal RNA". The record is from RNAcentral. Lineage: Eukaryota; Fungi; Ascomycota; Sordariomycetes; Xylariales; Hypoxylaceae.